This 91-nucleotide transfer RNA is filed under the name Paraburkholderia terrae. Its description in RNAcentral is "tRNA-Thr". The record is from RNAcentral. Lineage: Bacteria; Pseudomonadati; Pseudomonadota; Betaproteobacteria; Burkholderiales; Burkholderiaceae.
GCGCGCAUGGGCGAGAUCUUCGCGAGCCUGCGCGAUCUCGUACAUCGCGAGACUCAGGCAGCGUGCGAAUUCGAUACCCGCUGCGUUCGCC